Molecule: ribosomal RNA, 460 nt
Filed under: uncultured bacterium
Lineage: Bacteria
Description: partial 16S ribosomal RNA
Rfam family: Bacterial small subunit ribosomal RNA
Source: RNAcentral
CCUACGGGGGGCAGCAAUGAGGAAUAUUGGUCAAUGGACGGAAGUCUGAACCAGCCAUGCCGCGUGCAGGAAGACGGCUCUAUGAGUUGUAAACUGCUUUUGUACAAGGGUAAACCUGAAUACGUGUAUUCAGCUGAAAGUACUGUACUAAUAAGGAUCGGCUAACUCCGUGCCAGCAGCCGCGGUAAUACGGAGGAUCCAAGCGUUAUCCGGAUUUAUUGGGUUUAAAGGGUGCGUAGGCGGAUUGAUAAGUUAGAGGUGAAAUGUCCGAGCUUAACUCGGGAACUGCCUCUAAUACUGGUGAUCUAGAGAGUAGAUGAGGUAGGCGGAAUGUAUGGUGUAGCGGUGAAAUGCGUAGAGAUCAUACAGAACACCGAUUGCGAAGGCAGCCUACCGAUCUAUAUCUGACGUUGAGGCACGAAGGCGUGGGGAGCGAACAGGAUUAGAUACCCGAGUAGUC